Molecule: long non-coding RNA, 613 nt
Filed under: Marmota monax (woodchuck)
Lineage: Eukaryota; Metazoa; Chordata; Mammalia; Rodentia; Sciuridae
Source: RNAcentral
GGUAGGUUGGCCCUGUGCCUCUGGUAUGCUAAGGUCACCUGGGUAGCUGGCUUUAAGUUGCAGUCUGGAUACUGGCCUGUGUUAAUGCCCUUGACCCUGGGAUCCUACAUAGCCAUGCCUUAGAACCCCUACUUGGGUGCUAUUCAGGAGGCUUCCAGAGUCUGCCUGGUCUCUCCAGCCAUCACCACCUGUCCCAGCCCCGUUGCCCAGAACCCUUCCUUGCUCCCGCUGUGGUGUAGGGCCAGCUUGACUCCAUCUGUCCAGGUCGGUCUGCUGUCUGGUGUCAGCACUGCACUUGAAUGGGGGGCUGACCACCCGGCCUCAUGCUAGACAAGGCCUGGGUCCUUGACGUGGCACCUUGAGAUGCUGGACCCCGUCAGGAAUGGGAGCUUGGCUGUUCAGGGCUGAGGGUGUUUGGUGUUUCUUGGGGACCUCCUGGAACCCCUAGGGGUGGGUGUAGAGGGCCCCUGAGGCCCCUUCCUAUGUGGGCACCUCCCUGAAGGUGGCUGGGCUAGGGUCCUAUCACCAGCUCUCUGGAGGUGACCCUGGCAGUCUUCCGAGGCCCACUCUGUGGGAUUUCCCUCUGAGCCUCAUUCUGACCCCCCCCCCCCCC